GGCGACCGGCGCACUGGUGAGUAACACGUAUGCAACCUGCCGCGCACUGGGGGAUAAUCUUGGGAAACCGAGUCUAAUACCCCGUAGGCCUUGUUGCCGCAUGGUAAUAAGGUAAGAGGAGUGAUCCGAUGCGCGAUGGGCAUGCGGCGCAUUAGCUAGUUGGCGGGGUAACAGCCCACCAAGGCGACGAUGCGUAGGGGUUCUGAGAGGAAGGUCCCCCACACUGGUACUGAGACACGGACCAGACUCCUACGGGAGGCAGCAGUGAGGAAUAUUGGUCAAUGGGCGGAAGCCUGAACCAGCCAAGUCGCGUGCGGGAGGGAGGCCCUACGGGUCGUAAACCGCUUUUAGAUGGGGGGUAAACCAUGCGGACGAGUCCGCAUCUGAGAGUACCCAUCGAAUAAGCAUCGGCUAACUCCGUGCCAGCAGCCGCGGUAAUACGGAGGAUGCGAGCGUUAUCCGGAUUUAUUGGGUUUAAAGGGUGCGCAGGCGGCUAUUCAAGUCAGCGGUCAAAUUGCGGUGCUCAACGCCGUAUCGCCGUUGAAACUGAGUUGGCUAGAGUGAGAGUGAGGAAGGCGGAAUGCGCGGUGUAGCGGUGAAAUGCAUAGAUAUUGCGCAGAACUCCGAUUGCGAAGGCAGCUUUCCAAUUUCUUUCUACCUGAACGCUCAUGCACGAAAGCGUGGGUAUCGAACAGGAUUAGAUACCCUGGUAGUCCACGUCGGUAAACGAUGGUCACUAGUCUGUGCGCCCUGAUUAAAGGGAGCGUGGCCGAGCUGAAAGCGUUAAGUGACCCACCUGGGGAGUACGCCGGCAACGGUGAAACUCAAAGGAAUUGACGGGGGCCCAGCACAAGCGGAGGAACAUGUGGUUUAAUUCGAUGAUACGCGAGGAACCUUACCCGGGCUCAAACGCUUGCGGGAGUCUAUUUGAAAGGAUAGAUGCCCUUCGGGCGCUGCAAGCGAGGUGCUGCAUGGUUGUCGUCAGCUCGUGCCGUGAGGUGUCGGCUUAAGUGCCAUAACGAGCGCAACCCCCAUCUUCAGUUGCCGUCGGGUAGAGCCGGGCACUCUGGAGAGACUGCCGGCGCAAGCUGUGAGGAAGGCGGGGAUGACGUCAAAUCAGCACGGCCCUUACGUCCGGGGCGACACACGUGUUACAAUGGCGGGGCACAGAGGGAAGCCAGGCGGUGACGUCGAGCGGAUCCCGAAAACCCGUCUCAGUUCGGAUCGGAGUCUGCAACUCGACUCCGUGAAGCUGGAUUCGCUAGUAAUCGCGCAUCAGCCAUGGCGCGGUGAAUACGUUCCCGGGCCUUGUACACACCGCCCGUCAAGCCAUGGAAGCCUGGAGUGCCUAAAGUCCGUGACCGAAAGGAGCGGCCGAAGGUAAGAC
Molecule: ribosomal RNA, 1387 nt
Filed under: uncultured bacterium
Lineage: Bacteria
Description: 16S ribosomal RNA
Rfam family: Bacterial small subunit ribosomal RNA
Source: RNAcentral